CUUCGGCACGUCGGGUGCUCGGACACACGCAAUGUUCCGCUAAUUAGAUUCUACGUUGUGAUUUCGACGCCAGGUGAAACGGAACACAUCGUUUGAUCAACUCCUGCUUAAUUAUUUCGACGCUGCGACCAGCAUGCUCGACGAAACCGGAGCCAGCAGGCGAGCACUGGCAUGAAUUGAACACUUUUAUUCAAGGUAUCCCCUGGGAUAAGAAUAACCUUGUCAUCCUUCGAUGGAUUCUUGGGAUUAGGAGUACGGUAACUAUGCGUGGAUCUGCGAGAAUGGAUCAUGCGCUGGUCACGGGCAAAGGCAGUAUAUGUACCAAAUUGAAUAAACAUUGUACAUUUUCACUUUCCCUCUUCGUAGUAAGAGGAUUUAUGGAAGAGCGAUAAGAGAAUUUCUGAAAUCGAUUACCGAUGUACAGUAUUUAUUAUUGCUAUUAAUUUAUAAGUCAGAUUUACGAGAUCACAAAUAACCCUGGCUCGGAGCGGCGCCGAGUGCACGUGCCGCUGACAAGGCGCAACAAGAGCACGGAAAUGUUCAGACAACAGGCUGCGAAAUGUUUCAAAAAUUCUUUCAUAAAAUAACUGAUGGGACAUAACGAGCACCUGUAUCAACCGUUUGUGAAUCGAUACAAAUUGAUGAUGUUAUCUCCGGGUGUCUCGGGUAUUACGCGUGUACACAUUUCUCCGCGGAUGAUUCUGGCAUUGUAUCGUACGCAAACUUGGCAAAUUCUACAAAUAUACCCUCUGGUGUAUCGAGAGCACGAUCUAGAACAUACGGACAUGGAGAUGUCAUGUUCUCGAUAAUGCAACCACGAUCACUACAUUGUUCCUGUAAAAAAACUAACGCGACGUUUUGCUUCUAGUUAGAUACAGACUGGUUAUAAUAUUCUUUUACUGUUUCAAUAUCAGCACUGGUCAG
Molecule: long non-coding RNA, 924 nt
Organism: Megalopta genalis
Lineage: Eukaryota; Metazoa; Arthropoda; Insecta; Hymenoptera; Halictidae
Source: RefSeq, a predicted model, not a curated record